UGGGGAAUAUUGCACAAUGGGCGCAAGCCUGAUGCAGCGACGCCGCGUGGGGGAUGACGGCCUUCGGGUUGUAAACCUCUUUCGACAGGGACGAAGCUUUGGUGACGGUACCUGUAUAAGAAGCACCGGCUAACUACGUGCCAGCAGCCGCGGUAAUACGUAGGGUGCGAGCGUUGUCCGGAAUUACUGGGCGUAAAGAGCUCGUAGGUGGUUUGUCGCGUCGUCUGUGAAAUUCCGGGGCUUAACUUCGGGCGUGCAGGCGAUACGGGCAUAACUUGAGUGCUGUAGGGGAGACUGGAAUUCCUGGUGUAGCGGUGGAAUGCGCAGAUAUCAGGAGGAACACCGAUGGCGAAGGCAGGUCUCUGGGCAGUAACUGACGCUGAGGAGCGAAAGCAUGGGGAGCGAACAGGAUUAGAUACCCUGGUAGUCCAUGCCGUAAACGGUGGGCGCUAGGUGUAGGGGUCCUCCACGACUUCUGUGCCGUAGCUAACGCAUUAAGCGCCCCGCCUGGGGAGUACGGCCGCAAGGCU
Molecule: ribosomal RNA, 530 nt
Filed under: uncultured bacterium
Lineage: Bacteria
Description: partial 16S ribosomal RNA
Rfam family: Bacterial small subunit ribosomal RNA
Source: RNAcentral